RNAcentral lists this non-coding RNA (106 nucleotides) under Bathycoccus prasinos. The record is from RNAcentral. Lineage: Eukaryota; Viridiplantae; Chlorophyta; Mamiellophyceae; Mamiellales; Bathycoccaceae.
GUAUUUUAUGUGUGUUUGUGAGAUGACUUGUUCUCUUUUCUUUCGUUUUUUCUUUCUAUCUCUCUCUCUCUCAGAUUUCUCCGCCGUCAACCACGUCUUCGUCUUG